UUGAGCUUUUCUCACUUAUCCUUUGCCCUUUUGGACGCAAUCGUACGCGGGCGGGUCCCCUCAGUCAACCGCAUUGGGCCUUUGUCCACUUUUGUUCGGAAACAAUAUCGUCCUUGCGCGGGCCACUUUCGCACGCUCGCAAUCCAUUGCUGCCGUGUGGGUGUGUUGUCCGUCGACCUAUACCAAACGCCAAGCAACGUCGAGUUGAGCCAGCCGAUUGCCGCUCAUCGAGCACGAGCACCGUCGAUCGAAGAAAGAUGAUUUAUUCUGACAUUGGCGGGCAACGCGGCAAAACGCCAGCGAACCGUAAACCGUGGCCUUCGGUGAGGCCGAAUGGUUAUGGGUGAACCAAUCGUACCGUGUCCAUGUAUUUUCUGCAACCUUGGUUACCGGAACCAGAACAUCAAGGAUAUCGUUAGGGCGAAGAAAAACUUGUCUCAUUCUUCCCAAAAAACUUUCACCCUCCUUCCAAAAGAUACGGUUUGUUUUGAUUGUGGUCCGGCUCCAACCUCCGGCUUCGUUGCCCUAUCCAUUAGACAAGUUUCCCCAUUCACAAAUCAAAACUUUGCACCCAUUUUCAGUAAGGCAGUCAACGGAAUGCGCGAAAAGCCUUCAGUGACGUGCACAAAUAACUUGCGAGCGGUGUUUCUAAACCCUUGAGGGACCAACCAAAAGACGAGAAAACCAAAACCGGGCUCUCUCGGAUUCCGAGUGAUAAAAUUCAAAUAAAAGUUUUACCCACAAAGAA
Molecule: long non-coding RNA, 748 nt
Organism: Anopheles stephensi (Asian malaria mosquito)
Lineage: Eukaryota; Metazoa; Arthropoda; Insecta; Diptera; Culicidae
Exons: 2
Source: RefSeq, a predicted model, not a curated record